Molecule: long non-coding RNA, 807 nt
Filed under: Felis catus (domestic cat)
Lineage: Eukaryota; Metazoa; Chordata; Mammalia; Carnivora; Felidae
Description: lncRNA (ENSFCAG00000049800.1)
Source: RNAcentral
GUUUUGUGUCAAAACAAAACAAAAAUAAACUUUGUUAUCUUUGUGUAAAUCUGAGUUCAUUAUCCCCUUCCUCCUUCAUUCAUUCCUUUCUUCCCAUCAUCCUUGGUAACACCUUUGCUGGUCUAGUUUGCUUACCUGUUUGGGUGAUACAAAUCUAAUCUCUGAGAAGCUGGGGUACCAUUACACCAUGCUCUUCUCAAGCUGUACCUGUUGGGCUUGUGCAUUUAUGGUCAAAGAGUAGGUGAAUAUCAGGGGACACACCAAAACAUGCACUUGUUACUAAAAGCAUUCUUCCCUGUCUUCAUUGUAUAAAGGAACUCUACCUGUUUCUGAUUAUUAGCUUUACUGAUCCUUGCUGGGAUUCUGACUUAUGUCUGUUUGUCUUUUAGCAUCAGGAAUCUGACAUGACCAGAUGGUGGCUUAUCUAAUGGUUUAAUGGGACUCUUGCUCUGCUCCUUGUUAGAAACAUCUUAACUAUAAGGAACAGCAACUGUAAACCCACAGGGCUCAGAGUUAUAGUGAUGAAGAGGACAAAUUCUCUAAGAGACUCACUGGAAUUGAUGGUCAAGGAUCUACUCCUGUUCUUACUGUUCUACCUUUCGGCAAAAGGUCCAUUCUGUUAUUGUAGGAGCACUACCACCAAUAUUGAGAAUGUCUCUUCAUUUGGGCGUGCAUAUUCCCUGGAACAAUGUCCCUUGUUGUAAUAGGAGGAAAAUGAUUAUGAGAAAACUCAAGGCAAAAUUGAUCAGAUAUUACGACCUGCAUUCUGUACAGCAUGUUGACCAUGGAAUACUAAUAAACCAUUUC